RNAcentral lists this long non-coding RNA (13830 nucleotides) under Triticum aestivum (bread wheat). RNAcentral's name for it is "long non-coding RNA (TAES_LNC004192)". Lineage: Eukaryota; Viridiplantae; Streptophyta; Magnoliopsida; Poales; Poaceae. The record is from RNAcentral.
UGGAUAUGGUUUUGCAGGGUAAAGCUGGGGUGGAGAACAGUAGAUCGUGCCAUGACUGCCCUGCAUUAAUAAGGUUGCUCCGCUCAAAGGCAAUGGUUGGUACAUAGCUGAGCAUCGUGAGCAACACACCCACUCGCUGUCUCCGACACAUGGGCACACAAUACACUGGCUUUCCCACAAGCACAUUGCUCCUCCACCAUGCCCUUCCCUCAAUCUCCCUAAGCCUCGUGGCAUUGCCAGCACAUCUCCGUUGAUAUGGACGACGACCCACUACCAAUCGCAACGACACAAGGCUGUAGAUCGGCAGCCGGUCGCUGAUAGGCUAUCAGAACUGGCAAGCAGUGUUCCAUCUCACAUUUUCGGCAUCUUCGUGGUUCCUUCUCCAAGAUUUGCCUCCCAGGCAUCAAAUCGACGGGGCCAAUCCCCUGGUGAGAAGGCUUUGGAUUGCCGGGGCCGCGUUCGCUUGCACCUUAGUUGGAUCUAUGUUUGCUUGCUAGACCAGUGAUCUCCGCCCCUUACUUCACAUAUGAUUCUCCUAACCUGGGGGCAGCAGUCAUUCUCUCCUCUCUGUUUUCUCACGUUUUCAAAGGGGAACUUGGUUUCACCAAUCUACAAGCUGGAGGAAGCUCACUGACUAUCGUUCUCCUAUUUUAUGAAAUGUCAAGCAAUUCAGUGUUCACCCCUGAAAUGACUAGGCACUCCAUGAGCUUUUAUUUUCUGUUUUCAGAAAACCAACCUGUAGAACUGACAACAUUCUUUUCUAUCAGCUAUAUAGAGAACAGUAUGGCAUUCAUCCAUGGAGGUUUAUGCACCAAAACUGUCCCCUUUUGCAACUUCAUCUCUAUUGGAAAUGCUAACACAAAAGGUGUAGGUGAAUUUGAGAUCCUUUUACCUCUGAUGCAUUUUCCCCUACUUUCAGUAGUUAAAUCAUUAGCCUUGACCUUGUCAUCCUAUGGACGUAGAAAUUAAUUCAACUCUCUAAGUACAUGUACUUUUCUAUGUUACUUUUCUACCUGACCAUAUUAUUUUAUAUGAUGCUUGCAAGAUGAUCUUCUAAUAUGUUUACUCAGUGAGGCUCCCACUCAUAACCUGAGUUGUUAUUGUAUUGGUGCCCUGCAAUGAUGUUAAAUCGAGCAACGUAAAUGAAUAUGUCCACUAUGUGGUACUCUUAUUCUUUGCUACUUGUUCACAAAUUGUUUGAUUGAUGCUUGAUGGAAAAAGCUAUUGUUCCUGGACUGAAUGAAGCUGAGAUAUUAUCAUAACUUAAACUUAUAUCAGUGAGAUGUAUAGAGAUUUAAAUGCUGAUUUAGUAAUUAUUUAUUUCUUGUGAUAUUGACAUGCCUUCUCUGAUGCUAAUCUGCAUGAAGUGUGAUACAAGUAUGGUGUUUCCAAUUGUAUGAGUGCUCUGAAGCAACAAUUAGGUAGCUGGAGGUGGAGGCAAAGAGUUCACUCCAAUUAGUUGUCACAGUUCGCCAUAUUGUACAUCUAGAGCUCUCUUAAUAUUGGAAGAAUAUAUAUGUGGAUAGCUCUUGUUGUGUCCUUGUUUGCUCACCAUUGUCUUUGAAUCGACUAUGAAUUAGAAUGCAUAACUAAGCAUGAUGACAGUGAUGCUGAAUUUAUUACAUUAGAAGAUAUAUAGGCUCAUGAUAACUGAAUAUGGAUGGCUGAAUAACAGACGGUUACUCACUUUAGUUUGUGACUUGAAAUAUAUCUCACGCAUUGCACAAAACCUUGCAUCUAAUCUAACUAUCAUGUGCCUCUGAAAAUAUAAGAACACUUGACUGCCACAGGUGUGACUCAUAUCAGUUAGUAUCAAAAUUUAAAUAACUAAUUUACCUUCACAUUUCCAUCUGACUUGGGCUUCAUAUAAUCUGUCAUUUAGUGUUGGGGUGCAUACCUUUUGCAUCAGUACAUCAGAAUUCCGGCAUUCUUCGGAUUGAGUUUAUUUCUAAACAUCUAACAGAAGAGCUCAAUGAAAAAUGACUUCGAUGCACACAUCUCACUGCAUAAUGAGAAAUUAUGGUCUUUUCAUUGUCUUUGUUUCUGCAUCUUUCUCCAAUUCCCUGAAAAUCUUUUAUGCUACUGUUUGACUAUAAUUUUUUCUUUUUCGUUCAGGUGUCAACAUUAAUUAAGCAACUUUGGUUUGGCUACAAAUGAUGUGCUGAAUUAACAUUGCUAAGCGAAUGCACUCUAUUAUUUUGGUAUGACUAACUAUAGGAACGAGGUUUCACUAGCAUGAAUAAUUUUUCCUGGUUGCACUACGUGAUUGAAUCCUUACUGGUAGUAGUUGGUUGUACCAUGUAAUUGGAUCUUUAUCAGUAGUAGUAGCAGAACUAAGUCAUGGAGCUCUGUGUUGAAAGUGCAAUCAUGCCCUUACAUUAUGUUUUGAUGUUGAUGACAAUAUACAUGUAGGGGACUAACAAUGGUUGUUAAGUAAAUCUCAGGUGUUAGUCCCCGGCUCAUCGAAGUGUGUGGAUCAAGGGCAUACAAGUGAUUUUACUCAAGGAUGAAGCAUAAAAAUUGACUUGAUAUUUGGUUUCUUGAGUAUAGGAUCCCGCGCUAUUAAGAGGGGAUCGGUAGGGUUAGUUAAAGACUUGCUCAAGUUACAAUAAUUCCUUGCUUCAGUAAAAACUUAGGGUCACACAAAAAUACUCUGUGCACAUGUUCUGUUUGCUCCCAUGCCGGAUGUCCGGGCUACCUGCCGGAUGUCUGGGUCACUGAUGUUUAGACACCAGUAAGUCUGCACGCUCACGCCGGAUGUCCGGGCUGCACCCCGGAUGUCCGGGUCUCCCAGCCAUGCCGGAUGUCCGGUAUUUUCCCCGGAUGUCCGGCUCCCUGUCAUCCCGACUCCAGUAGGUUUGCACGUUGCUGCCGGAUGUCCGGGCUUCGCCCGAAUGUCCGGGCCUUCCCGUGUCACCGGAUGUCCGGGCCUUGCUCCGGAUGUCCGACCCCUCUGUUUUUCUCCUGGCUUCUCCUAUGUUCUUCUUGUGCCUAGGCAGCCCGGAUGUCCGGCCACCCUGCCCGGAUGUCCGGCCUGCCCAUUCACUUAUGCUAUAACGGCCACAUUUGUGCUCACACUAUAUAUAGCCCUUCUUCCCCACGGGAGAGGGUUGACCAUUCACUUUGAACAAACCCUAGAACACCUCUCACUCUCUCUCACUCCUCCACACCAAAUCUUAGAUCCCCAAGGGAUUUGAGAGCAUUUGAGAGAAGUUGUCCGAUCAAGUGAUAGAUCCACUCCUUCCCCUUCUUUGCACCCAAGGAAUUCAUGAUUUGAGCAAGUCUUGAGCUUUUCCCCAUCGUUCUUAUUACUCUUGGAGGUUGGAGACUACUAGGCGGUAGGAGUCUUUCGGAGAGGAAUCGACCUUUGUGAUUACCCCCGGGAAAGUUUGUGAGGGUUUGGAGACCACCCCAAGGUCUACCACUAGUGGUUGAGAAACGCCUUCGUGGUGUUGUCUCAAAGGGAGAAUAGGGUGAGCCUUCGUGGCGUUGGUGUGCCUUCGUGGUAACAUCCACCUCUCUAACGGUGACGUAGCUUCCCUCCAAGGAAGUGAACAUCGGCAUACAUCCUCGUCUCCCGGAGUUGUGGUUAUUCCAAACCUAACUCUCUACUUGUGGUUACUUGUCUCUUAGCACUUACUUAUAUCAUAUUGUGCUUGUUUACUUACAUACUUGUGUUACUUGUUUAUCUUGCUUAGCACUUAGUACUAUAGUUGCAAUUGUUAGGCUCACUCUCAUAUUCCGCAUUAGUGCCUAAAAUUGCUAAGUAACAAUUAAAAUUUGUAAUUGUACCUAUUCACCCCCCCUCUAGGUCCAUCUCGAUCCUUUCAAUUGGUAUCAGAGCCUCGUGCUCUAUUCUUGUGGCUUAACCGCCCUAGAGCGAGAUGAACCCCGAUGGGACUCCCCGUGUUGCAGAUCCGAAGGAUAAAGGCGAGGCUUCCUCUGAAGUCAAAUCCUUUACUUCUGAGGAUCUGGAACGGGCCCUUGCUAAGCAAAAAGAGGAGCAUGAUGCUUCUGUCGAGGCCUUGGUCCAAAUGAGGAUAGCCACAUUGUCCACGGUGCUUGCACCACUUCCGGAUGGUGCGGCUUCGAGGCCAACUGUGCCUACUCCGUCACUUGGUCAACAACCUCCUAGCAAUGAGCACUCUAGUGUUCCUUGGCUUUAUGCAAGACCCCAAGUUGAGAAACCAAAAUAUAACCCUCAAGGCAAACCUCCUUUACUUGAUGCCACUUCCGAUUUUGCCUUAUGGAGAGUUGCUAUGCAGGAUCAUCUUCGAUAUGGAAACGAUGAGAUGAUAGAGAUCUUGGAGUAUGGUUACCAUGUGGUUGAUCCAAAGAAUCCUACACCAAGAGAAAUUUAUGACAAGAAUCUCAAUGACACUGCAAUCAUGUGUAUAAGGAGAGGUAUGGUUGAAAAGCAAAGGAGACCUUUCAUACACAUCACAAGUGCCAAGGAACUAUGGGAAAGUAUUAUAAGAUCCAAGACCGGUACCUCCACCCUCCGGAGUGCUCAAUAUGAAAUUGCCAAGGGGGAAUUGCAAACUUUUGUAUGGAGAAAGGUGAAACUCCAAAUCAACUCCUUGAGCGUCUCAUGACUCUCACCGCUGAUAUUGAUUCGUGUGAGUGUGACAAGACACAAGAUGGAUUCAACAUGACUAAGCGAUUCCUUGUGGACAAGUUGCUCCAUGCUCUUGCUCCAUAUCACCAUCAGAUGGUAUGGGACAUAAGACAACACCAUGCCUUCAAGGAAAUGACUACAGAUGACAUCAUAUCCACUUUCCAACUAUUUGAAGAGUCAAAGGCAAAUGCUACAAAACAUCUUGCCAUGCAUGGUACUCCAUCGUCGAAGAUCAAUCUUGCAUUGAAGGCCAAGCAUGUAUGUGAAGAUGAGCAAAGUGAAGAAGAAGAUGAUGAUGAUGAUGAAGAAGAUGGUGAUGAGGUUGAAUCCGAUGAGGGCCCUUCAUAUGAAGACAUGGCUCUCUUUGUCAAGAAGUUUAGCGCGAGAAAAUUCAAGGGAAGGUUUCAAAAGAAGAAAGUAAGAAAAUGCUACAACUGUGAAGAAACCAACCACUUCUCCAACGAGUGCCCUUAUGAGAAGAGAGAAGAUAAACCAAGGUUUACCAAGACCUUUCCCAAGAAGAAGUUGCCAAAUCCUUUGAACUCCAAGCUCAAGAAGGGAGAUGGGAAAGCAAUGGUUGCUCAAGAAGAAUCCGAUCCGGAUGAUGUUAGUGGUGUUGCCGGAGUUGCUCAAGAUUCUCAAAACACAUUGAGGCUAGUCAACAAGAGUGGUGAAGUUGUCACCUACAACUACAUGAAGGAUUACAAGGGCAACGCUCACAAGUGUCUCAUGGCGAAGGCCGUGGUAGAAGAUGGAGAGGACCAACACUCUCCUGACAAGGUCAAGGUAACCCCACGAUCAAACCCUCCUCUUUUCACUCCUCCUACUCCUAGUGAUGAGUAUCUUGAUGCGGAGGAUAGUUAUGAGGAUGAUGAUAUAAAUGAUCCUAUGCUUGCUAAACUAAAUAAGUUCAUGUGCUCCCUUAAAGGAAAGAAGCUCACUAUGUUUUGUAUGCUUAUGAAGAUGGUGAGUAAGCACACCAUUUCCAUUAAGGAACUCGAAACCCUCGCCACCGAGGAAAAGGAAAAAUAUGAAAUCCUUGAGCGGAAAGUCCAAUAUGAGGAAGCACGCAAUGAUGAACUAUGCUUAAAAAUUGGUGCAAACAUUGAUGUUCAUACUAGAGAUCUUGCCUCCUUGAAAAAGGCUAUUGACUCUUGCGAAGAGUUGAUGAAUGAUAAAAGUAAGCUUGUAAAGUCUAAUGCUUCUCUCUCUAAGGAUUGUGAGCUCCUAUCCGUGUCCCUCAAGACCAAGGAAGAAGAGCUCACCCUUCUUACAAAGAGUUUUGAGACACUCAAGCUUACUUAUCUUGAAACUCUAGCCAAGGCUUACUCUUCUCCUAUUAUCAAUGUUGAUGCUUGUACUACUAACUCUAGUAGUGAUCUAGCAUCUAUUCUUGAGGAGAAUCGCUUUCUCAAAGCUCAAAUCGAGAAAGGGCUCAUGACAUGUGCUCAAGGGCAAAAGAACCUUAACGAGGUGUUGAGCCAACACAAUGAGGUGUUUGCCAAAGAGGGACUCGGGUUUGACCCGAGCACAAGCAAGAAGAAGACAUCCUCUCAAAAGUGCACCACCCCUCUAAAAGAAACUUUUGUACGAGAAGGGCACAAGGAGAAAGGUAAGGUUGUUAGUGGGAAGGCCACAAGGGGCAUGCCCACUCUCAACAAGCCAAAAGAGUUCAUGCCUCCAUCCUAUGUACUUCGUAAGAGUAAGGAUGGAGAAGUUUAUGCAAAGUUUGUUGGUCUUCGAAAUGCAUUUCGGUUUUAUGCUAUUUGGGUCCCUAAGACCCUUGUGACUAACGUGAGAGGUCCCAUUGCAAAAUGGGUGCCUCUAACCAAGUAAUAAUUGUGUGUAGGUUGCCUUCUCCGGUGGAGUAAAAUGGGUGAUUGAUAGUGGAUGUACCAAUCAUAUGACUGGAGAUAGCAAAUUGCUCUACAAUUUCAUGGAAGCUAUUCAACCAUUUAUGAGCAUUAUGUUUGGUGGAGGAUCAAAAGGACAGGUACUCGGUUUGGGUAAGGUGGCUAUCACAAAUGACAUGUCUCUUGCAAAUGUCAUGCUUGUCCAAUCCCUUAAAUAUCAUUUGCUUUCUGUUCGUCAAUUGGCUUCUGUUGGUUAUGAUACACUAUUUGGACUAACGGAUGUGGAAGUCUUUAAGAGAGAUACUCUCGAAGUGGCCUUUGUUGGAGAGUUGGAUGGCAACCUUUACACGGUUGAUUUCUCGAAAGAGAGCACAUUCCAUGCAACUUGUCUAAUGGCCAAGGCCGAUAAGGGGUGGCUAUGGCAUCGCCGGCUAGCCCAUGUCGGCAUGAGAAAUCUUCAAGAUCUCUUAAAGAGAAAUCACAUCCUUGGACUAACAAAUGUCUCUUUUGAGAAAGAUCGUGUGUGUAGUGCAUGCAUAGCCGGGAAGCAAUAUCAAUCAAAGCACCCACCCAAGAAUAUUGUGUCUACUUCAAGGCCUUUGGAGCUCCUUCAUGUGGAUCUCUUUAGGCCUCCUUCGUGGGAUAGUCUUGGUGGGAAAAAGUAUGGACUUGUCAUUGUGGAUGAUUACUCAAGGUAUACAUGGGUCUUCUUCCUCAAAUCCAAGGACGGGACGAAGAUCACCUUCAUUGACUUUGCCAAGCAAGCACAACGCAAGUUUGACAAAGAAAUUCUGGCAAUAAGAAGUGAUAAUGGAUCCGAGUUCAAGAACUACACCUUGGAAGAGUUCCUUAGUGAUGAAGGGAUUGAGCAUCAAUAUUCAGCUCCAUACACUCCCCAACAAAAUGGUGUAGCAGAAAGGAAGAACCGGACCCUUGUGGAGAUGGCAAGGUCCAUGUUGGAUGAAUACAAGUCGCCACAUAGUUUUUGGGCCGAGGCCGUCAACACUGCAUGUCAUGCAUCAAACCGGCUCUUCCUCCGCACGAUAUUGGAAAAGACUCCAUAUGAGCUCCUAACCGGGAACAAGCCAAAUGUCACUCAAUACGGAUUUGAAGUUCUUCCUCGGAUUUCAAAUUCAACAAUUUCAAGAAGGGAUUUUCUUGUCUCAAGCAAAAUACCUCAAGGAUAUCCUAGCGAAAUUUGGCAUGACUAAUGCUAGCCCAUGUAAGACACCCAUGCCAACCAAAAUUGUACUCACUGAAGACUCAAACGGUACCCCCUUCGACCCAUCUAGAUACCGCUCUAUGAUUGGUUCGUUGCUUUAUCUUUGUGCAUCUAGACCAGACAUCAUGUUUAGUGUAUGCAUGUGUGCUAGAUUUCAAGCUUUCCCUAUGGAAAGCCAUCAUAAGGCGGUUAAGCAUAUUCUUAGAUACCUUGUUCACACCCCAAAGUUAGGACUAUGGUACCCCAAGGAUGUUAAGUUUGAUCUCAUUGGAUACACGGAUGCGGAUUGGGCUGGUGACAAGGUGGAUCGUAAGUCCACCUCCGGUGCAUGCCAAUUUCUUGGAUGCUCCUUGGUAAGUUGGUCCUCGAAGAAACAAAAUUGUGUUGCCCUCUCCACCGCAGAAGCUGAAUACAUUGCGACCGCCAGUUGUGCAACUCAAUUACUAUGGAUGAGGCAAACUUUGAAGGAUUACGGUAUCACCUAUAGACAUGUGCCUCUUCUAUGUGAUAAUGAAAGUGCCAUCAAUAUUGCUGAGAACCCCAAAGAUCAUUCCCGCACCAAGCAUAUUGAUAUCAGGUAUCACUUCUUGAGAGAUCAUGUGGAGAAGGGUGAUAUUGACAUUGCUCAUGUUGGCACAGAUAAGCAACCUGCAGAUAUUUUCACCAAGCCAUUGGAUGAAGCAAGGUUUUGUCAACUUAGGCGUGAACUUGGUAUCUUGGAGCUUGACAAUAUUAUGUGAAAUCUAGUACCCAUUCGUGCAUGAACUUAAUGUCUUGUCUUGAUGUAGGCAUAUAUUUAGGGGGAGACAUUCAAUUCAUGAAUAUUCUCACUCUACAUAAUGCAUAAAUAGAACAAACACUCUCAAAGUAUCAUGGUUCUCGAACUAUGGGCUUUAAUAUGAUGGAGUCGUGACCAUGUGCCCAAAGUCUACAUCUUUGCAGUCCUAUGGUCCAUAUGCUCAAACAUGGUGACCUCGGUCACCGCUUGUACCUUGUUUGUGUGAACCUUUCAUUACUUAUUUAGGUUGGGUGGUUAUUUUAUCUUAGUAUGACCAUAGAUGACUGAGAUUUCUACCCAUAUAAAUCUCUAAAAACUCCUUGGCGGAGUCUAUAUUCAAUUCUAUGUGUUGACCCCUUAAAAAUCCUUCCCCAUCCUGUUUCUCUGUCCAGUGGCCGGACAUCCGGGCCCUGAAGAAAAAAAAACCCUUCUGCUGCGCAAGCCACCAAUGCACCUCCAGUGGCCGGAUUUCCGGGCUGGUCCCCGGAUGUCCGGCCCGUUGGCCCUGUUUCUUCUGUUCCCUGACCUCCAAGCGCCGGAUAUCUGGGCCAUGCCCCGGAUGUCCGGCCCGUUGCCGCACCAUAUAACAGAGAGGGGCUCGGGCUUUUGGGGGAGUUACUCAUUCACUCCCGUUUCCUCUCCCCAUCUCACCACACAGCCGCCGCCGCCGGGGUGUGCUCCGGCGCUGCCCCGGCCAGUCUCCGUCGAUCUCCGGCCCCGAUCUCCUGCCCACGGACUCUCCUCCUCCCGAUCUACGAUUCUCUCCAAUCCAUUUCUUGGGUUGUGGCUUGAGUCUCUCGGGAGGGGCCGGUGUUCGGUGGGAUUCACCGCCGGAGUUCGUCAUGGCUCGUACCAAGAACUGCGGUCCCAAGGGUCCCGAGGUUUCUUCUCGGGGUAAGAGUGCUAUCUCUCUUCAUCUUCCUUUGGUCGUGACCAAAUCUUAUUAGGGUUGCAUUAUUCCCCAUGUACAUCUUGCCAUGUCUAGCGCUCUCGCGUUUUGGUACUGCAUACCUAAGCCUACAAACACCUCUAUAUGUACUCGGCUACUCAACUUAACCAUGGGAAUGUAAAAUUUUUGAUUUACCAUUUGGACUUGUCCUAUGGUCAUAAUCGGAACAUGUUCAUCCCACGGUUUAAUUUGGCUUAUCCUUGUUCAUAUUCUUUGGCUUCUUCUUAUCGGAACCUAUUCAUUAUCCUUUCCAGUUGAUCGCCGGCAAGGCUCAACCGACUCCGAUGAGCAUGCUCGGCCUAAGAAGAAGAAGACCACCACCAAGAAGAAGCGGGCACCAUCCACCAGUCUGUCGGCCUCGGAUCUAGAUGAUGCGGACUAUGUUGGGGAGGAAGAGGAUGACAGUGCACCAAGACAGUCUGUUGGACAGUCCAAGCCCGGUACUAGGAGGGCGCCGGUGCCUCAAGUUCGUGGUUCUGCAAUGCCCAUUGUCCCUGGUCGUCGCAUCUCCAUGGAGCUUCCUGACAGUGGAGGUCGCCCCACUCACGACUUCACAACUGUGGGGGCGGGGCAAUAUCUUCAGUUUCGUCGGGAUGUCAAUCAAUAUGAGAUGGUGGCUGAUGCCGAAGAUCCUCGGUUCCGGACUCGUAUGCAGCAGGAUCUCUAUUCCAGUUUCGUCCAUGGGCGUGGACUUGCUCCUCACUCAUCCUUGGAUCUCAACUUUCUGCGUGACAAUCCUGCCUUUUUCCCUAACAAUCCGGUCAAGAUCAUUGACGAUAUGACUCUUGGUCCUGCAAUGACCUUCAGGUGUGACUGGAAUGAAGCUGCCAUUCUACAGUUCUAUGCCACCUGUUUCUUUGGUCCGGACAACACUCUCACCUGGAGGACCGAUGACACUACACUGACGAUCACCUAUGACAGGUUUGUUUAGAUUUUGGGUCUCUCCGGUGUUGGCCAUUGCAUCCACAGUAUGGAUCCAGAGUACAAACCAAAGGGAUUGAUGCUUGCUUGCCACUUGUUAAACCUCCCUCUCAACUCACUAAGGAAGAGCUUGGAUAUCCAGUCAAUGAGGUAUCCAUCUUCCGUGCUCCUUACUACAUCCUCUACCAGUGUGUGCUUCGCACUCUCUACCCUAAGAAGGGAGAUCGCUCGAGGGCUCGCAACUAUUGCAUUGACUUGAUGGUUCGUAUGCAUGACCAACCCACUGAGCCUCUGGACACAUCAAAUUUUAUUUGGCAUGAGAUCCGUCCCUGCAGUUUCAUUCAGACACGCCAGUUCCCUCAUGCUCCAUUUAUUCAGGCUCUGAUUGAUCACACUGCUCCCUUUGAGGUGGUUAAGACUGCUGUGCAUUCCAUUUGGAAGCCUCCUCCUCAUAUGCGCGUGGUGGCUUCUGCUCCUACUCAGCCUGGGAGGUCUGUCGGUGGGAAGACAGCUGCUCCUACUCAGCCCAGUGGUUCCUCUGUUCCAUCUUCCUCGUCUGCGCCUCGUGGACGCCUUGCCUCGUUCUUCGGCAAGGCUCGGUCUGCUAUCAUGAAAGCAAUCACCUUCAGCUAUCAGCAGAAUCAUGAUGUUUAGAAGCGCCUCAUCAUCUCCAAGAAUCAGCUCAAGCAGCGCCUCCGUGACCGUGGGAGCCCCGUGAGUGAGGAUGAUCCUAUUCCUGCGGCUCCAUCCACUUCCACCUUCGGUUUCCCGUCUCGCGCUGAGUAUCCUAAGUUCUUUGUUGAUGAUGAUGACAUCCGCCAGGAGUGACCAAGUCCGUUUAGUUCUUCGCCCCUUUUUACUUGUUGCUGUCAAAGGGGGAGAAGUAGUAUCUUAAUGUGGUCAUACUUGAUGUAUUAGCUGUGUUAGCCCUACUAUUAUUCGAACCUGUUAUGAACUUGUUAUGUUGCUACCUAUGCUAUUGUCUUGAUCAAGUGAGACUAAGUGAGACUAUGUUGUUAUCUUAUUAUCUUGAUCAUGUGAGUCUAUGUUGUUUACCUUGUGGGUAUGGAUUUUGUUUUGUCCAUGUGUUAACAUAUUCAUCUCAUGCUCACAAUGAGGGGGAGCCAAAUACAAAUAGAAACAUCAAGUUACUUUGUACUUUCGCUCUCAUAUUUGUCAAUGCUAAGACUAUUUAUUACAACUGUGAUACUACAUGUGUGAUUGUCAUCAACAAACAAAAAGGGGGAGAUUGAAAGUGCAAUCAUGCCCUUACAUUAUGUUUUGAUGUUGAUGACAAUAUACAUGUAGGGGACUAACAAUGGUUGUUAAGUAAAUCUCAGGUGUUAGUCCCCGGCUCAUCGAAGUGUGUGGAUCAAGGGCAUACAAGUGAUUUUACUCAAGGAUGAAGCAUAAAAAUUGAUUUGAUAUUUGGUUUCUUGAGUAUAGGAUCCCGCACUAUUAAGAGGGGAUUGGUAGGGUUAGUUAAAGACUUGCUCAAGUUACAAUAAUUCCUUGCUUCAGUAAAAACUUAGGGUCACACAAAAAUACUCUGUGCACAUGUUCUGUUUGCUCCCAUGCCGGAUGUCCGGGCUACCUGCCGGAUGUCCGGGUCACUGAUGUUUAGACACCAGUAAGUCUGCACGCUCACGCCGGAUGUCCGGGCUGCACCCCGGAUGUCCGGGUCUCCCAGCCACGCCGGAUGUCCGGCUCCCUGUCAUCCCGACUCCAGUAGGUUUGCACGUUGCUGCCGGAUGUCCGGGCCUUCCCGUGUCACCGGAUGCCCGGGCCUUGCUCCGGAUGUCCGGCCCCUCUGUUUUUCUCCUGGCUUCUCCUCUGUUCUUCUUGUGCCUAGGCAGCCCGGAUGUCCGGCCACCCUGCCCGGAUGUCCGGCCUGCCCAUUCACUUAUGCUAUAACGGCCACAUUUGUGCUCACACUAUAUAUAGCCCUUCUUCCCCACGGGAGAGGGCUGACCAUUCACUUUGAACAAACCCUAGAACACCUCUCACUCUCUCUCUCUCACUCCUCCACACCAAAUCUUAGAUCCCUAAGGGAUUUGAGAGCAUUUGAGAGAAGUUGUCCGAUCAAGUGAUAGAUCCACUCCUUCCCCUUCUUUGCACCCAAGUAAUUCGUGAUUUGAGCAAGUCUUGAGCUUUUCCCCAUCGUUCUUAUUACUCUUGGAGGUUGGAGACUCCUAGGCGGUAGGAGUCUUUCGGAGAGGAAUCGACCUUUGUGAUUACCCCCUGGAAAGUUUGUGAGGGUUUGGAGACCACCCCAAGGUCUACCACUAGUGGUUGAGAAACGCCUUCGUGGUGUUGUCUCAAAGGGAGAAUAGGGUUAGCCUUCGUGGCGUUGGUGUGCCUUUGUGGUAACAUCCACCUCUCUAACGGUGACGUAGCUUCCCUCCAAGGAAGUGAACAUCGGCAUACAUCCUCGUCUCCCGGAGUUGUGGUUAUUCCUAACCCUAACUCUCUACUUGUGGUUACUUGUCUCUUAGCACUUAUAUCAUAUUAUGCUUGUUUACUUACAUACUUGUGUUACUUGUUUAUCUUGCUUAGCACUUAGUACUACAGUUGCAAUUGUUAGGCUCACUCUCAUAUUCCGCAUUAGUGCCUAAAAUUGCUAAGUAACAAUUAAAAUUUGUAAUUGUACCUAUUCACCCUCCUCUAGGUCCAUCUUGAUCCUUUCAGUUUUGUUACUGGAGAUCUGUUUAUCUGGUUGCUAACUGGUUAUAAUAUCUAAGAUUUUUAUUCUUAUAUACUAUACUUUAUUCACUUCACAAUGUCAAUAUGUGCCUGCUACUGGUAGCUUCCAGUUAGUUGUUUUCUUGUGUAUUCUAAGAAUAUAUGAUAUUUACUUCUCUUUUUUGUCUAGUUAAUUUUUGAAAUAAUAUACAGAAACAUGUACUAUUAGGUUAUGAAAGUAAUUUAAAUAUUUGCUCAAAGUAUUUAUUGUACAUUUUCUCAAUUGUUAAUCUCUCUGCACAAGCUAUGGGCAUCAACAGGCUUACUAGUUUGGUGGCAACAAAAAAGCAGAAGGAGAUGGGGCAGCCAACAACUAGCUGAGAGAAGGCGCCAACGAGGGGCUCAACAAAUGGACAAGGUUCUGCAUGAUAUGUCGCCAGCAGAGACAUAAGAGGACAACCUGCCCGGACCGUGGCCAUAUCCCGAAGCCUGUUCGUAAACCGGCCAGGUGCACAAACUGUGGCAUUGAAGGUCACAGGCGAAACAACUGCAAAAGAGUAGGCGAUUUGCGGAUAAACAACAUAUGAGGACCGACCACAAUGUCCUUGACUAAGCUAUCUGUUUGAUCGUUUCUUUACUGUAGACCAUUGUGUUGUGUAGCUAAGUGUGUGCGGCGAGAAUGUGUUGGAUUUCUUAUAAAAUCUGUCUUGUUUGCAUGCUUGCUGAAUGUAAUGCAGUGUUGAUGGACGUGUUAAUGACUCGUUUCUAAAUAAAAUGAAACUCCUCUGCGUGUAUGUUCAAACUGAU